AGUGAACGCUGGCGGCAGGCCUAACACAUGCAAGUCGAGCGGCAGCGCGGGGGCAACCCUGGCGGCGAGCGGCGGACGGGUGAGGAAUGCAUCGGAAUCUACCUCGUUGUGGGGGAUAACGUAGGGAAACUUACGCUAAUACCGCAUACGACCUACGGGUGAAAGUGGGGGACCUUCGGGCCUCACGCGAUGAGAUGAGCCGAUGCCGGAUUAGCUAGUUGGCGGGGUAAAGGCCCACCAAGGCGACGAUCCGUAGCUGGUCUGAGAGGAUGAUCAGCCACACUGGAACUGAGACACGGUCCAGACUCCUACGGGAGGCAGCAGUGGGGAAUAUUGGACAAUGGGCGCAAGCCUGAUCCAGCCAUGCCGCGUGUGUGAAGAAGGCCUCGGUUGUAAG
This 397-nucleotide ribosomal RNA is filed under the name uncultured bacterium. Its description in RNAcentral is "bacterial SSU rRNA". It matches the Rfam family "Bacterial small subunit ribosomal RNA", at positions 30 to 429 of the family's 1533-position model. The record is from RNAcentral.